Long non-coding RNA from Astyanax mexicanus (Mexican tetra), 553 nucleotides. RefSeq lists it as uncharacterized. Lineage: Eukaryota; Metazoa; Chordata; Actinopteri; Characiformes; Acestrorhamphidae. The record is from RefSeq and is a predicted model, not a curated record. The transcript is spliced from 5 exons.
CGAGGUUUAUUGAGGUUAAGCGAGGUUAAUUGAGGUUAGGAAAGACUAUAUUUGGUUUAAUUGAGGUUAAGCGAGGUUAAGUGAGGUUAAGCGAGGUUAAUUGAGGUUAAGCGAGGUUAAUUGAGGUUAAGCGAGGUUAAUUAAGAUUAGGAAAGACUAUAUUUGGUUUAAUUGAGGUUAAGCGAGGUUAAGUGAGGUUAAGCGAGGUUAAUUGAGGUUAAGCGAGGUUAAUUGAGGUUAAGCGAGGUUAAUUAAGGUUAGGAAAGACUAUAUUUGGUUUAAUUGAGGUUAAGCGAGGUUAAUUGAGGUUAAGCGAGGUUAAUUGAGGUUAAGCAUGGUUAAUUGAGGUUAAGCGAGGUUAAUUGAGGUUAAGCAUGGUUAAUUGAGGUUAAGCGAGGUUAAUUGAGGUUAAGCAAGGUUAAUUGAGGUUAAGCAUGGUUAAUUGAGGUUAAGCGAGGUUAAUUGAGGUUAAGCGAGGUUAAGUGAGGUUAGAAAAGACUAAGUUUGGUUAAACCAGGUUAUUCGAGGCUGAACUGAACUGUUUUUCCUCUGU